Molecule: ribosomal RNA, 459 nt
Filed under: uncultured bacterium
Lineage: Bacteria
Description: partial 16S ribosomal RNA
Rfam family: Bacterial small subunit ribosomal RNA
Source: RNAcentral
CCUACGGGAGGCAGCAGUGAGGAAUAUUGGUCAAUGGGCGGAAGCCUGAACCAGCCAAGUAGCGUGCGGGAUGAAGGCCCUACGUGUCGUAAACCGCUUUUGCACGGGGAUAACACCCUCCACUUGUGGCGGUCUGCAGGUACCGUGCGAAUAAGGGCCGGCUAAUUCCGUGCCAGCAGCCGCGGUAGUACGGAAGGCCCGAGGGUUAUCCGGAUUUAUUGGGCUUAAGGGGUGGGUAGGCGGGCGUUAAAGUCAGCUGUAAAAUCGAGCGGCGAAACAGCGCCUCGCAGUUGAAACUGGAAGUAUUGAGUACACAACAGGCAGGCGGAAUGCGAGGUGUAGCGGUGAAAUGCAUAGAUAUCACGAGGAACCCCGAUUGCGAAGGCAGCUUGCCGGGGUGCGACUGACGCUGAGGCUCGAAGGUGCGGGUAUCAAACAGGAUUAGAUACCCUUGUAGUC